CUUGGCGAAUCCCGACGGCGCCCGUCGGCAGUGUGCUCCUGGGCCCCGCCGCGCUGUUGUUAUUUAUUUAACCAACGGGGAGCAACGAAACUCAGCCGGAGGGGUCGGGACGGCGGGGCGGGCGUUGAAGCUGGGACCGGGCUGGGGCUGUGCGGUGGAAGGGGCUCGGGCUCGAUGUGGCGGAGACAGCGCCGGGCGGGUAGAGGCCUCUGGCCGAGGCCUGCGGAACAGCAGCACCGCCGAACGCAUUAAGCGCCCCAGUACCGGCGCAGCGCCUCGAGCAGCGCCUCGAGCAGCCCCUCCGUCGGCCCCGGUGGGGCUCGGUGUGUGGGCCGUGGGAAAGGGAACGGGGGCUCCAUUCCGGCGGUGCCGUUGGUUCAGGGGCUCACGGAGCGGGCUGCGCGCUGCCCGGGCUCGGCGCUGCUCCCCGCAUCGCGGCGUUACCGCCGUGAGUACGAGCAGAAAUGAGAAUCGGCCCCGAAACAAAGCAAAAUGAGCUUCCUCGCACUGAAAGGAGAAGGGGAAACGUGAGCGAUAGAGUAUUGGUCACGUUUAAAAUGAACGCUGUGCAACACAACGUACAGCCGGUGCCUGUCGCUGCGUUCAACCACCCAAAGUUCAUGUUUGUCCCGCUGGAGAAAUGGUUCCGUUGAAGUGUAACACCCGCAGCCCUGCCCCAGCAGUGUGUCCCGGGAAAUCCAGUGCAGAUCCCAGUGCAACCACCACGGCUCUGUGCCUUUUCUGUAUGCGUUUGUGAGUAUGUGCGUGUGUGAGAGAGCGGCUGUGAGAAAGGGAGGGUAAAUCCCUACAACAAUUGCUGUGGAUGGGCAAUAAACAAUUGCAGUUGGGCAUGGCACGAACUAUGUGCGUUGGAUUAACCUCGCUUGACCUCACCACAAUUGUAUUUAUUUAUCCAAUUUCGUAACAGGUUGCUACUGACCAAAAAGAAGUAGAAGUCAAUGAUCAGCUACCUUCGGCUUUUUCUUUUUCAGAAUUGCUGUUGUAUUUUAUUUUUUAAAUAUCGUGAUAAUUUGUAAUUAUUUCCUUGCACAACACUGAAGCCAAUUGAUGGGAACUCCUGAAGAAGAGUGCAGUGUAGAGGAUGUAACGGAGCUCUGUGGUGCUGGGGUAAGAGAAAAGGUAAGCUUUGUGCAUAUUAUUAUGGUUCUGAUGGGCAGUAACCAAUGUAUGUCAGUGCAAGAUCCCAUCGGGGCGGCUGGGCCCUGUGCAUUUUCCUACUCGGUCUAGCAUGUAAUGAUUCGGUGUAACCGGAUUCUUGAGAAAGGACAGGUUACGUAAACAUUUACUGCUGUGGAGUAACUAUACUAUUUGUACUCUGAUAUGCAGGAAGGAAAGUGUUGAUUAACACAGAAGAAAAAAAAAAAAAGCGAAAUUAGCUGAUUGCAUGCUCAUAAGUGCAAGCUGUCAUUGAACUGCUUUUAAAAUAGACACAGCUGGGUGUUUGUGUUGAAAAAUUUCUUGUGUUUUUGCUAAUACUGAAAUAAGCAUGAUUUUGUAUACCAAACAUUUUCAGAUCAUUAAAAUUUGUAAUCUGCGCUGGUUUUAAACACAAAGAAAAGAAACGGAUUCAUUUCGCUGUAAAAUUUGCUGAUAUUAUAUUAACUCAAUCAGGUCUGUACAAACGGGGUAUUGUGCCUUAUCAAAUCCCUUUGAUCCAUUUAAUACACAAAGUGCCAAACGUGUGUAUUGUUUGUUAACAUUGAGCGUUUUAUUCAAAUCCCAGCUCUGCAGCGAACCGGAGGAGCUCUCGUUUAAUGUAACACUGACAUCGCCUGCUGAAAUUUUAAUGCUCUGAGGUGUUCCUUAGGUCAAAGCUGAGUCUGCUUAGCUCUGCGUUCGGGGAUGAGAACGUAGCAGACAAGGAAGAAAACCUUCAUACGUUUCUGAGCAAAGGUCCAAUACAGACAGCAACGUGUUUUUUACAGCGUUUGGUGAUCUGGGCUUAAUAUUCGGUCAUUUAUCACUGCAGCAGAAUAAAGUACUGUGCACAAAUUUAGGAUUUAUAUAAUGUAUUUUUUUUUAGCGCCGUGGAUAUACAGUUCUACCAAAAAAGGAAAUGUUGCGUUCAAUAUGUAGUGCGUAUUGUUCCAAGCUCGUGAGAUUAAUUCCCUGUUUAUAGGACAGAAAAGGAUAUGUAGGAAAAGCAUGUCAAUUAUUUCUACUGGACUUUAACUUUCUAGUCUUUUUUUUUUUUUUUUUUUUUUUUUUUUAAAUAAUAAUUCCUCAUGUAUAAAAGUGGGACUAUUGGCUUUGAACGCUCGAAAUCCUGCUCUAACGCCAGUUCUUCUGUUGGCUCUGACCUGGUCGCAGCUCCCGUCCACUUCAGUAGUAGCUUUAUAAAUGGUGACCCUGAAUAAGUGGCUGGUUUGACCCUCUCAGCUCCGUCUGCACUCGAAUUCCUGUGAGAGGGUCCAGAAAUUUAGCACUUGCUAGCAUGAAAAUUUUGGUGGAGUGCCUGGAGAAACAGCCUGAACGGAGAAGGGAAUGCACGGCCCCAGCCUGGCGGGGCACGGGUCGUGCGAGGAGGGGCAGCUCUGUGCUCCCCACCCUCAGGGGCUCGUGGCGCUGUGGGGCUGAGGGAGUACUGCUCCGAGGACCCCCGGCUCAAAUGCCAUCUGAAGGGUUGCCGUGCAGUUUGAAUACAGAUUCUGGGUGCAACUCUUACUGAUAAUGUUUCACCGCAGAUUUUUCCCUGCAUGUUUUUUUUUAAGUAAAGGGCCAAACGGAAAGUGUACCACUGUCAGCUCGAUGGAUGCAGAUAUGUUGUGGCCCCCCCACGGCUCCAGCCUCCAGUCUCCCUUCACGCAAAUACAGCGGCUCUGUACUCCCAGGCUCUUCCAAGGGGUUAAGCAGUUAAAAUGUCCUGACAGCUUAAGGAAUGAAUGAGGGUUUUUUCAGCCAUGAAUAAAGAGUAUUUAAUAACCACGCUUCGAUGGCAUCAUGUGUCCACGAAACGAGUCGGGACACCUUAGAUUAACAACCUCUAAUAUCGCGUUGGGUACAGUAAAUGCCUGGAUGUGCGCAUUUAUAGCUCUAUCCCCCAGAUUCUAAGCUUGUCUUAUUUAUUCCAGGUUACCUGGGCAAUUAAGGUAAGAGCAGCUCAGCAGGCAGCGACAUCCCGCUGCUCGGGCAGGGCGAGCGGGGCCGGAACGAGCGCUAACAAAGGCGAGAGGUGGUCAUACAGAUUGAAGAGGGGUGAAUGGGACUGGAGGUGGAGGAAUGAAUGGAGGCAAAGAGAGAGAGGAAGAAGUAUUCGGCGGUCCACCCUUACAUCGCGUUUGUAUAUUUAAGUUUAGGUGUCUGUCUCUAACCGACUUUCAGUUAAUCCCUAACAGCUGGCCGUGGUGCUAACGUUUAGUGAUUAGAAGUUACUCUAUUUAGCAUGCUGUAUCCUUCUUGCCUGGGUUUUGGUUACAGGUUAUACGAUUAGCAUUGCGAGAACAGUAGUGAACUAAACUUCCCAGUGAGAGGUCUUCACACCAGGGAAGUGUUACUUUGCUGCAGCAGCCCUGCCUCGUCAGUCAUUAGGAAGCUGCAGGUUGUCAGAGCCUUCUCUUGCGCGCACACACGCGCAGACACACACGCGCACACACAAAACCACAGCACUAAAACUAAAUUAAGAAGCCGAUGAUUAAGACAAGCGUCUACGAGGCCUGUCAUUUCAGCAUCCUUCCAUCAUAACAUUAUGGCACCGAGAAAUUUGCUUGAAAACCCUGGAAAAAUGUCUAUGGGAGAGCCUGGUAUUUGAGAUAGCGUAAAUGUUAACAUCGAGUGUAGGCUGGGAGCUGCCGCGGAUGCAAGAUGGUAUUCCACUGAGGACGCGGGUGCUGCAGGGACCUCUGGGCUGUCCGCACACACUCGGUUUACUCAGUGGCUUCAGUUUCCUGUCCUUGCUGGCCUCCUCACUCAAGUCUGCCUUGAAUUCUUCCCUCUGAUCCCAGUAUUCUGCCACCUUUCCAAACCUUUGAUGUGAAUUGUUGACCUUAAAAUGAGAGGAGUAGCGAAAAGGUGAGAAUAAGGCGUGCACAUAAAAAAGGAUAUCCAGUUUAACAAAAGUUGUAAGACAGUUGGAUUCUUUACGAACUGGAUUAGAGAAAUGCAAAAUACUAAUACCAAGCACUUUAACCAUAGGCUGCAUAUAAAUCCACAAUAACAGAUUAUUUUAUCCUUUUGUGGAGAUAUGAUGACUGCAUUACCACGUUUAAAGUUUCUCUCUGUCUAGCUCUCCUAAAUAUGAAGAGUCUCAAGCAUCUUUUUAAUAGGAGAAAAAGCUGUUAUUUACAAGCGAGUUUUCUCACAGGCUCUUCAAAACUCUCCCCAGCAUUUCAGUAUUUUUAAAAUGGUAACAGGCAGAAAUGGAUAUGAAAUUCCAGUACUUAUCUUACCUACUCUAUACGUGUGAUUUUGCAAGAAACAAUGCAAUUUCAGCAUAGCAGAAGGGUAUGAAAUACAGACUAUAUUUAUGAACUCAUUGCCUUUGCAGUAAAGUUUCCUGGAUGAUUUAGUUUUCAAUUCUCAUAAAAUUUAAAGGAUUAUGACUAAGUUUCUGAACCAUGAUGACUGGCGCCUCAUUGCAAUUUACAAAGAAACCACUUCAAUGAGAAAAAGUUGUGCAGCUCAUGAUGUUUUAAAUCAAGUCUCAAUCAAGGUGGUUUAUUGAUUUAUCAAUGACAUGUGAUUAUCCAGCAGUCAAUUAAUUAUAUUCAGGUUCAAUAUCGGUAAUACAGAAGAUAAAUCAAAAUGCAAGGGAAUGAAAAAUGGAGGAUUUACUGUGUCAUUUGCUUGAGAAAGUAGCUUGAACUUCUGAAGUAAAAGCAAGAUUCAUCAUUAAAUAAAUAAAGCACGGAUCUAUCAGUCCCUCUGCAUUGCUAGUUAUGGAACUGGGUCAAAUCAGCCCAUAAACUGUUGACACCCAUCUUCUCAUUUGUGGAAGGAAAUUUUUCAAAGGUACCACGUGUAUGUCCUAUGAGAACAAGUGCCUUAUUUUACAGGAUAACUCUGGACUGUGAAACUUUCAUUACCUGAACAAACAACAACUUCUACUGAAAAAGAUUCACUCAGAUGUGUUUUAUUAUAUCAUUGAUAUACAUUCCUAAUAACCACAUGGAAGAUCAGUGUGGGGUAAUUAGUGUGCUGUGAAUUCACACCUGAGCUUAAAUUACAGUAAUGGGGCUGAGAAGAAGGCUAUUUAACUGGAAUAAUUGCUCUCUACCCUGGAGUACACUCUAAAAGGAAAGAAGUCUUACUAAAUGGUGAAAUUUGAAGUUUUGCUACUGUCAGUGUAGAGUAUGGAAUGAAUUACAGGUUAUGAAAUGAAGAACAAAGUACUAUCAGCCCAGAAAAUUGAGAGUUUUCUUUAUGGUCUGUUAAAAGUGAAGUAAAUCUAGAUAAAGAAAGAAGGUAAACUGCUUCAAGUCACUUUGAGGUCUGGAUUCCACCUGGUGUGAGGUGGCAAUUAGUGUCAUGUGGUGCAGUGAGAAACUUGGGUUUUACGUGUUUGUCGUCUUCUUCCUUCAUUGUGCUGGUUAAGAUGGAGAAGAGAAAAUAGAAGGCACGUACACUCCAGAUGUGUGAAUAACUGCAAACAUGGACUUCGGAGCUAUCAGAAAAUAACUUGUGUAGCACAGAAACUAAUGUUAAUGUUGAGAGAUGGGUUGGUGGAAUCACUAUCUGCAGUGAUACUUAUGUAUUUAUUUUCUUAUUUCUGUCCCUUUUUCUAAAAUAUUUUACUAGGAUAACAUGCCUAAAAGUAGAUUUUUAUUUUUUUUUUGUAUGUUCAUCAAUGGAAGUCACAUAAAGUUUUAUUCUAGAGACUAUUGAGUGGGGAGUUAAUCUUUCAGUGAGACUUGCAGCAAGUAACAUGGUGAACUAGGUAAGUCAAGGGUGCCUAGGAAACAAGAGUGUUCUAGUACAGGAUAUAGAAAGGUAAAACUUAAUAUCUACGUUAGGUACAACAAAAUAUGUAGCAAUCAUUUAAAAAAAAAAUAAAUUGAAAAUGCGAGUCUGAACUUUGAGGGCCUCAGGGAUUUCAUGGUAUCUGAAUACAAAUUCUGAAUCAUCUAUGUAUCCAGCACAAAAUCACUGAUUUGGAAACUUGUGUAACAUGAUAGCAAGUAAUUAUCAGCCGCCUUCUGUAUUCAGUGUAAUGCAGAAUGCAUUUAUUAACUUAUGCCUUUAAAGUGAGAGAAUAAUUGACACUUUCAGCUGUAUCAGCAAACUCUCAAUUGAUUGCAGCAUGGAAGUGUUGGAAGUAUCAGUAAAUGACUGUAAAGUACCAACGAAAAUAGCUUUCUAACUUUUUAUUUCUUUUGAUAUUCUAAAAAAAAUAAUCUGGAGUUCUGACAAAGGAAGUUAAAUGUGUGUUUGAAUUUGAUUUUUAGAAGGAAUGUUGAAGGACUAAUCACCAAACAUAUUGUACUGUUUUCAGAAUAAACAAUAAUGCCCUUCUUUUGUAGAACUGAAUACUUUCCUUCCUUAUUGCAGUAAUGCUAAGUUUUUUGGGCAAGAGGGAGCACAUAUGGUUUCUAAUCUUGAGCUAUGUGUAUGUUAAAUGACUGGCAAGUAGGUUCAUGCUGUUUGGUGUCAGCUGUCUGGCCAAACUGUGUAUGUAAUAUCAGAGAGUUCUGUCUGACUUUUUCUCUGUAAAAGCAUUAAUUUGAUCUCUCUUUUUCUAUCCACAGAAUUUUCAUUAAAAUUCAAAACAAACAAAAACACUUGUUGAAACAAAUUCUGUCUUUCAAUUGGUUGAGAUGAGACAAAAAAUUGAGUAGGAUUAAAAGAUUUGAGGUGAAGAUAGAAAGACAGGCACUAUGAUCUGAAAUGCCUUCUUUGGGAAACCAAAGUAAAAUAAUAAGCAUUUUCUGACAGCUAUUUUCUUUGUAGUGACAAAUAUUAAGUCAGAUGAUACCGUUGAUGUUUUUACUGAUGGUUUGUAUAAGGGUGAGUUGUUCACUGUUCAGAAACUGUGGUAGAGCCCCAUAUAUGUUAAAUCAUGGAUUCUCUAAAAGAAUGUGGCUCGCUCACAAAAACUAUUAGCAGCUGCGAAUAGCUAAAGGAAGCAAAACAAAACCAGCAGUAAAAUUUUUUUACCCUAGUAUUUCAAAGAGGACUGCUAUUAUUAUUCUGAGUGAAACAGAAGAUGAUUAAUAGUAUUCUUGACCCCUUAAAGGUGCAUAAUAUAAAUGAACACUAAAGACUCUAGUUGUUAAAAUGGGCUGAUGCCUGAAUUCUUUGGAAGUUAUGGUAUUUAAGAUAUUUAUAUACAUUACUGUGUAAAUAUGUGGGCUGACUUAUGAAAUAGCAGAGAAAAUCUCAGCAUCCAAAACAUCAGAAUGCAGUCACCUGGAGGCAGGGAACAAGAAAUCGCCAGCUAAACUGGAGGCGUUAUCUACUAGUACCUGUCAUCUGAAGAAACAAACUAUUUUAAAAAAUGUGUGGAAAAGCAAGCAAAGAAUGUAGAUGCACUUUUACUUCUUUUCUCCUGUGAUGAAAAUGUGUUGGUGAACUGAUGUGAUAAUCAUAAUUGACAAAGAAUUCAUUCUUAGAAAUAAGUGACAAAUUAAAAGAUGAUAAGGUGGAUUUUGUGUUGUAACAGUGCCUGGAGGUCCUGCCAGAGAUCAGAAUUUUAUUGGUCUUUAAUUAUCUCUGCAGUGUCAGGUAUAAUGAGCCUAUGGUCUUUGAGAAGCCCAUAUGGGCCUAUAGGAACUACAAAUAAAUAAUUUUUUUUCGGUUAUGUAACAUCACCAGUAAAAGUACUGUGCUUCUAAUCCGUAAAUGAACACUGAGAUAAUAAAUAGCUGAGGUAGGCAACUCAGGGAUGCUACCAGUGGUAAUUGAACUGGGAAGUUUUAAUGCAAUGUGUUGUUUUCAUUAUAAUGCAGUUGUUCUUCUCAACCAUUAUCCAAACACUGCUUCAUGAUUCUUUGCCCUGGCUAUGAUCAGUCUUCAUAGUCUGAUGAAGUGCUGAGAAUCAUAGAAUCACAUGGUUGGAAAAGACCUACAGGAACAUCUAGUCCAACCGUCUUCCUGUUACCAUUGCUACCGCAAGCCACUAAACCAUAUCUCAUAGGUCCUUAUCCAGACUCCUCUUGAAUACUGCCAGGGAUGGUGACUCCACCACCUCCCUGGGUAGCCCAUUCUCCAGUGCCUCACCACUCUCUGAGAGAAAAAGGUUAUAAAAAAAGUUUUUUGAAGAGUGAACUCACUUUUUAUCUGAAUUUCAUUGCUCCUGUUCUCGAAAUAAAUAACUAUAAAAGUAUGUUUGGUAGUGGUUCCCAAAAUUCCUUUUGAUAGCACAUUUGUGGAAAGUUACCUGUGCUUUAAUAGGUCUCCAGUUCUGAAAUUUGUUGAUUUGCCUAAGAAUAGGUUGCAGAAUUUAGACUUCUCUGUGUUAAAUGUAGGUAAAUAAAUGAGCAGUUUAUCACUUAAGUUUCUUAAAACAAGUAUGAUAAGUUUGUAAGAAUUUUUAUAGUACAUUCAAUAGAUUAGAUAAGUGUUAAACAAUUCUGAAAUCAAAGUACAGAUAGUACUAAUUUUUUUGAACAGUCUGCUAGUGACUAAUUUCUAUUGUGAAAAUUUCAGUAAGGAAGACUUGGGAUUAUUUUACUAUGACCACUAAAAUUGUUUAAAUAUUUAUCAAAUAUUAUAUAUAAUGAUUAUUAAAAUAUUUAUUAAACAAUAAAACUUAAAGUCAUAAUAUUAUCUCAUGCUUCUUGGUCUCUAUAUAUGAUUAUAUGUGAAGAGAUGUUAAAUAUAUGAAAGAUUCUGUAUUUCUUUAAUAAUUUUCUGAGAAAAUAACAAAUUUGGAUAUAUAUGAAUGCUACCUUGAGGAACUGUAUCAUAGUUGUGUUGCCCUGGCAUUCCUAAACAUUUUGCUAUGUUGGCCUAAUUUUUAUUUAUGACUAGAGCCUUAGAGAUCAUCUGAAUUAGUAAGUCCCUCUGAAUACAAAGGGAAAAUAUGCUUGUAUGUUUUACUCUUUUUAAGGGAAAUGUCACAUUUGACAAACUUUGCCAUAGCUGAUCAGUACUUUAUCUUUCACAUCUUCUAGUCUGCUGCUUGAUGUUACUUCUGCUGCUCAGUGCAUUAAAUAAGAUCGACUCCAUCUGA
Molecule: non-coding RNA, 9127 nt
Organism: Coturnix japonica (Japanese quail)
Lineage: Eukaryota; Metazoa; Chordata; Aves; Galliformes; Phasianidae
Source: RefSeq, a predicted model, not a curated record